GCAAACUUGGUCAUUUAGAGGAAGUAAAAGUCGUAACAAGGUUUCCGUAGGUGAACCUGCGGAAGGAUCAUUAUUGAAUAAACUUGGUGGGUUGUAGCUGGCUUUUUGAAGCAUGUGCACAUCCAUCAUCUUUAUCUAUCAUCCACCUGUGCACCUAUUGUAGUCUUGUGAAAUGAGAAUGGCAGACCCUCGAUGUUUCGGAUGUGGGGAUUGCCUGGCUCUCUCCAACCUGACCAUAAUCAUUUUCUUGACUAUGUUUUUUCAUAUACCAUGUAGUAUGUUGCAGAAUGUAUCAAUUGGGACUUAGUGCCUAUAAAACACAAUACAACUUUCAGCAACGGAUCUCUUGGCUCUCGCAUCGAUGAAGAACGCAGC
Molecule: unclassified non-coding RNA, 375 nt
Filed under: uncultured fungus
Lineage: Eukaryota; Fungi
Description: partial contains small subunit ribosomal RNA, internal transcribed spacer 1, and 5.8S ribosomal RNA
Rfam family: Eukaryotic small subunit ribosomal RNA (bases 1-73)
Source: RNAcentral